UACGUUGGGGGAAAGGGAUUGUUAGUAACGGGAUCUAACUGACCCAUUGCUAGCAAUACACUCCAUUCAACCUCCACGCGGUUCCCCCUGGAAACCAUCGUGAUUAAUUCUAAUGGAAUUCGUCUCGAUGGGUUAACUGAAAUGUGCUUUAAAUACAGGCAAAAUAUAUCAAAUUUCCGAAGACGUCAGAGGAAAGAAAAGCUAACAUCAUUUGUAACGCUGAUCUCCAUCACAAGUGAGGAUGCCAGCGCCAGCUAUGGAGGAGCUACUCGUGACUCUUUCAUUUGGACAAAUCACACCCUAGGACAGCGUUUAGAACUGUUAAACAAAUAUGAGUCCAUUUUAGUUACUUGGUGAUUCAGGACAUGCUCUUAGAAAGUGUACGGUGACUCCCAUUACUACCAGAGGGAGACUGUACAAAAGUCGUUUGCUUGGCCACCUCUGUCCUAUUCGUGUUUCUACCGUGAAGCAGCUGUGUUUGCAUGG
Molecule: RNA transcript, 486 nt
Organism: Galleria mellonella (greater wax moth)
Lineage: Eukaryota; Metazoa; Arthropoda; Insecta; Lepidoptera; Pyralidae
Exons: 3
Source: RefSeq, a predicted model, not a curated record